AGCAGCCGCGGUAAUUCCAGCUCCAAUAGCGUAUAUUAAAGUUGUUGCAGUUAAAAAGCUCGUAGUUGAAUUUCGGGAUUGACGUAAUGGUCAUGCCCUAAGGGGUUUGAACUGUUACUGUUGAUUUCUCACCUUCUGGAAAAACUUGAUGUCCUUAAUUGGGUGUCUUGCGGAUCCAGGACCUUUACCUUGAAAAAAUUAGAGUGUUUAAAGCAGGCAUUUUGCUCGAAUACAUUAGCAUGGAAUAAUAGAAUAGGACGGCAUGGUUCUAUUUUGUUGGUUUCUAGGAUCACCGUAAUGAUUAAUAGGGAUAGUUGGGGGCAUUAGUAUUCAAUUGCCAGAGGUGAAAUUCUUGGAUUUAUUGAAGACUAACUACUGCGAAAGCAUUUGCCAAGGAUGUUUUCAUUAAUCAAGAACGAAAGUUAGGGGAUCGAAGACGAUCAGAUACCGUCGUAGUCUUAACCAUAAACUAUGCCGACUAGGAAUCAGACGAUGUUAAUUUUUUAAUGUACUCGUUGGC
RNAcentral lists this ribosomal RNA (520 nucleotides) under uncultured Glomeromycotina. RNAcentral describes it as "SSU rRNA". It matches the Rfam family "Eukaryotic small subunit ribosomal RNA", at positions 569 to 1084 of the family's 1831-position model. Lineage: Eukaryota; Fungi; Glomeromycota. The record is from RNAcentral.